CUACGGGCUGCUGCAGUGAGGAAUUUUGCGCAAUGGGGGGAACCCUGACGCAGCAACGCCGCGUGAGUGAUGAAGGCUUUCGGGUCGUAAAGCUCUGUCAAGUGGGAAGAACCUAUGCAGUGUUAAUAUCACUGUAUACUGACGGUACCACUGAAGGAAGCACCGGCUAACUCCGUGCCAGCAGCCGCGGUAAUACGGGGGGUGCAAGCGUUAUUCGGAAUCAUUGGGCGUAAAGGGCACGUAGGCGGCUUGGUAAGUCAGAUGUGAAAGCCCGGGGCGUAACCCCGGAAGUGCAUUUGAUACUGUCAGGCUUGAGUAUGGGAGAGGGAAGUGGAAUUCCUGGUGUAGAGGUGAAAUUCGUAGAUAUCAGGAGGAACACCGGUGGCGAAGGCGACUUCCUGGACCAAUACUGACGCUGAGGUGCGAAGGCGUGGGUAGCAAACAGGAUUAGAUACCCCCGUAGUC
This 465-nucleotide ribosomal RNA is filed under the name uncultured bacterium. RNAcentral's name for it is "partial 16S ribosomal RNA". It matches the Rfam family "Bacterial small subunit ribosomal RNA", at positions 339 to 795 of the family's 1533-position model. The record is from RNAcentral.